GCCAGGUGUGGUGGCGCACACCUGUAAUCCCAGCUACCUGGGAGGCUAAGGCAGGAGAAUCGCUUGAACCCAGGGGGCGGAGGUUGCGGCGGGCCGAGAUCACGCCACUGCACUCCAGCCUGGGUGACAGAACGAGACUCUGUCUUAA
RNAcentral lists this non-coding RNA (148 nucleotides) under Homo sapiens (human). Lineage: Eukaryota; Metazoa; Chordata; Mammalia; Primates; Hominidae. The record is from Rfam by way of RNAcentral.